This is a non-coding RNA of Eumeta japonica, 73 nucleotides long. The record is from the annotation of a GenBank genome assembly. NCBI's taxonomy places the organism in Eukaryota, Metazoa, Arthropoda, Insecta, Lepidoptera, Psychidae.
GCCUGAUUGUCGCAGUUGGUAGUGACCCUACUAGCUGCGCUGGGGGCGUAGGUUCGAUUUCUAUCACAAGGCA